CGGGUGAGUAACGCGUGGAUAACCUGCCUCACACUGGGGGAUAACAGUUAGAAAUGACUGCUAAUACCGCAUAAGCGCACAGUACCGCAUGGUACAGUGUGAAAAACUCCGGUGGUGUGAGAUGGAUCCGCGUCUGAUUAGCCAGUUGGCGGGUAACGCCCACCAAAGCGACGAUCAGUAGCCGACCUGAGAGGGUGACCGGCCACAUUGGGACUGAGACACGGCCCAA
This 229-nucleotide ribosomal RNA is filed under the name uncultured bacterium. RNAcentral's name for it is "partial 16S ribosomal RNA". It matches the Rfam family "Bacterial small subunit ribosomal RNA", at positions 103 to 334 of the family's 1533-position model. The record is from RNAcentral.